This 588-nucleotide ribosomal RNA is filed under the name uncultured bacterium. RNAcentral's name for it is "bacterial SSU rRNA". It matches the Rfam family "Bacterial small subunit ribosomal RNA", at positions 337 to 916 of the family's 1533-position model. The record is from RNAcentral.
UCCUACGGGAGGCAGCAGUAGGGAAUUUUCCACAAUGGACGAAAGUCUGAUGGAGCAACACCGCGUGAACGAUGAAGGUCUUCGGAUUGUAAAGUUCUGUUGUCAGGGACGAACACGUACCGUUCGAAUAGGGCGGUACCUUGACGGUACCUGACGAGAAAGCCACGGCUAACUACGUGCCAGCAGCCGCGGUAAUACGUAGGUGGCAAGCGUUGUCCGGAUUUAUUGGGCGUAAAGCGCGCGCAGGCGGCUGUGUAAGUCUGGUGUUAAAGCCCGGAGCUCAACUCCGGUUCGCAUCGGAAACUGUGUAGCUUGAGUGCAGAAGAGGAAAGCGGUAUUCCACGUGUAGCGGUGAAAUGCGUAGAGAUGUGGAGGAACACCAGUGGCGAAGGCGGCUCUCUGGUCUGUAACUGACGCUGAGGCGCGAAAGCGUGGGGAGCAAACAGGAUUAGAUACCCUGGUAGUCCACGCCGUAAACGAUGAGUGCUAGGUGUUGGGGGUUUCAAUACCCUCAGUGCCGCAGCUAACGCAAUAAGCACUCCGCCUGGGGAGUACGCUCGCAAGAGUGAAACUCAAAGGAAUUGACGG